GACGAACGCUGGCGGCGUGCUUAACACAUGCAAGUCGAACGGAAAGGCCCUGCUUUUGUGGGGUGCUCGAGUGGCGAACGGGUGAGUAACACGUGAGUAACCUGCCCUUGACUUUGGGAUAACUUCAGGAAACUGGGGCUAAUACCGGAUAGGAGCUCCUGCUGCAUGGUGGGGGUUGGAAAGUUUCGGCGGUUGGGGAUGGACGCGCGGCUUAUCAGCUUGUUGGUGGGGUAGUGGCUUACCAAGGCUUUGACGGGUAGCCGGCCUGGGAGGGUGACCGGCCACAUUGGGACUGAGAUACGGCCCAGACUCCUACGGGAGGCAGCAGUGGGGAAUAUUGCACAAUGGGCGGAAGCCUGAUGCAGCAACGCCGCGUGCGGGAUGACGGCCUUCGGGUUGUAAACCGCUUUCGCCUGUGACGAAGCGUGAGUGACGGUAAUGGGUAAAGAAGCACCGGCUAACUACGUG
RNAcentral lists this ribosomal RNA (468 nucleotides) under uncultured bacterium. RNAcentral's name for it is "partial 16S ribosomal RNA". It matches the Rfam family "Bacterial small subunit ribosomal RNA", at positions 28 to 507 of the family's 1533-position model. The record is from RNAcentral.